This 661-nucleotide unclassified non-coding RNA is filed under the name Hevea brasiliensis (rubber tree). Lineage: Eukaryota; Viridiplantae; Streptophyta; Magnoliopsida; Malpighiales; Euphorbiaceae. The record is from RNAcentral.
AUUGAUUUGUAAAAAUCUAAAAAGCAUCAGUAGUAUUGUGGAUUCAUUCUGGAGACUAGCAAAGCAAGAGAAGACAUAUUCCAUAAUUGUAGCCAAAAUAAGUAUGGAGAGAACUAGCCAGUAGCUUGUUCCUUUUUUUUAUAUAUCCAAAGCAGCAAAACUUCUGACAAAACUCCUUGUACCAAGAAGCUCCAUUAAACUGCAGGCAGGAGGAAGAAGAAGAAGGCUGAACCAACCGAGCACUUAGUAUCCGUUCGCUACACCACUUCUCUUCUCUGAUGGUGAUGAUGUAACUGGUUUUGCGCCGCCCUUUGGGGCAUCUACAGUUUUCAAAACUGAUCCAUUUUCAGAGAUCUUCGUAUCCUCCUUUACCAAAUCAUUUGUGGCUUCAACUGGCUUUGGAGUUUUCACAUCCACUACUUCAGAAACUUCCUUCUUGUCAUCAGUAGGCUUUCCUUCCCAAACCUGUUUCUUGAACUGCUGUUGCUUGGCUUUCUUCUCUUGGAUUGUCUUCUGUCGUGCCUCGUAGAAACCAAAAUCGUCCAAAAUGCAUGUUUUGCUUGCAUGCUCCUUGAAGAUUUUUACCAUCUUAAGUCCAGGCUCCAGCUUAACCUCCUGUGUGUCCCUGCUAUUGGUAACAGGCUUGUUCUCAUUGUUCUCA